This 254-nucleotide ribosomal RNA is filed under the name uncultured bacterium. Its description in RNAcentral is "partial 16S ribosomal RNA". It matches the Rfam family "Bacterial small subunit ribosomal RNA", at positions 524 to 776 of the family's 1533-position model. The record is from RNAcentral.
UACAGAGGUCCCAAGCGUUGUUCGGAUUCACUGGGCGUAAAGGGUGCGUAGGUGGUAGUGCCAGUUUGAUGUGAAAUCUCCGGGCUUAACCUGGAAAUGGCAUUGAAUACUGCAUUGCUUUGAGGUUUGGAGGGGGGACUGGAAUUCUCGGUGUAGCAGUGAAAUGCGUAGAUAUCGAGAGGAACACCAGUGGCGAAGGCGAGUCCCUGGACAAAACCUGACACUGAGGCACGAAAGCCGGGGGAGCAAACAGG